Molecule: ribosomal RNA, 253 nt
Filed under: uncultured bacterium
Lineage: Bacteria
Description: partial 16S ribosomal RNA
Rfam family: Bacterial small subunit ribosomal RNA
Source: RNAcentral
UACGUAGGGUGCGAGCGUUAAUCGGAAUUACUGGGCGUAAAGCGUGCGCAGGCGGUCUGUUAAGACCGAUGUGAAAUCCCCGGGCUUAACCUGGGAAUUGCAUUCGUGACUGCACGGCUAGAGUGUGUCAGAGGGGGGUAGAAUUCCACGUGUAGCAGUGAAAUGCGUAGAUAUGUGGAGGAAUACCGAUGGCGAAGGCAGCCCCCUGGGAUAACACUGACGCUCAUGCACGAAAGCGUGGGGAGCAAACAGG